This 80-nucleotide antisense RNA is filed under the name Kluyvera ascorbata. RNAcentral's name for it is "antisense RNA of dnaA mRNA". It matches the Rfam family "antisense RNA of dnaA mRNA". Lineage: Bacteria; Pseudomonadati; Pseudomonadota; Gammaproteobacteria; Enterobacterales; Enterobacteriaceae. The record is from RNAcentral.
UUUGGCGUUCGGUUUGCGGGCGAUAAUGCCGUUACCCACCGCGUGCAGCAGGUGCGUUUUACCUAAACCCGUACCGCCGU